Molecule: ribosomal RNA, 895 nt
Filed under: uncultured organism
Description: SSU rRNA
Rfam family: Bacterial small subunit ribosomal RNA
Source: RNAcentral
GUGCCAGCCGCCGCGGUAAUACGUAGGUGGCAAGCGUUGUCCGGAUUUACUGGGCGUAAAGGGCAAGCAGGCGGACUGUUAAGUAGGAAGUGAAAGGUCGGAGCUCAACUCCAACAUCGCUUCCUAUACUGGCAGUCUUGAGUCUCGGAGAGGAAAGCGGAACGAUACGUGUAGCGGUGAAAUGCGUUGAUAUGUAUCGGAACACCAAUGGCGAAGGCAGCUUUCUGGACGAGAACUGACGCUCAUUUGCGAAAGCCGAGGUAGCGAACAGGAUUAGAUACCCUGGUAGUCUCGGCCCUAAACGAUGAUCACUAGGUGUCAGGGGGUUUCCCUUGGUGCCGCAGCUAACGCAUUAAGUGAUCCGCCUGGGGACUACGGCCGCAAGGUUGAAACUCAAAGGAAUUGGCGGGGGCCCGCACAAGCGGUGGAGCAUAUGGCUUAAUUCGAUGCAACGCGAAGAACCUUACCCAGGCUUGACAUGUAGCUGCAAGCUCCCGAAAAGGAGCCGCUUUCGAAGGUGCUACACAGGUGGUGCAUGGCUGUCGUCAGCUCGUGUUGUGAAAUGUUGGGUUAAGUCCCGCAACGAGCGCAACCCUCAUGUCCUGUUGCCAGCACGUAAUGGUGGGAACUCGGGACAAACUGCCCAUGUAAGUGGGAGGAAGGUGGGGAUGACGUCAAGUCAUCAUGCCCCUUACGCCUGGGGCUGCACAUAUGCUACAAUGGCUGCUACAAACAGUUGCGAUCCCGCGAGGGCUAGCUAAUCUGAAAAAAGCAGUCUCAGUUCGGAUUGGAGUCUGCAACUCGACUCCAUGAAGCCGGAAUCGCUAGUAACCGCAGGUCAGCAUUACUGCGGUGAAUACGUUCCCGGGCCUUGUACACACCGCCCGUCAAUCCC